RNAcentral lists this ribosomal RNA (519 nucleotides) under Melampsora euphorbiae. Its description in RNAcentral is "eukaryotic LSU rRNA". It matches the Rfam family "Eukaryotic large subunit ribosomal RNA", at positions 86 to 598 of the family's 3401-position model. The record is from RNAcentral. Lineage: Eukaryota; Fungi; Basidiomycota; Pucciniomycetes; Pucciniales; Melampsoraceae.
ACGGCGAGUGAACAGGGAGAAGCCCAAAUUUGUAAUCUGGCACUUUUUACAAGUGUCCGAGUUGUAAUUUGUAGAACUGUUAUCCGUGCUGGACCAUGUACAAGUCUGUUGAAAAGCAGCAUCAUUGAAGGUGAAAAUCCUGUAGAUGAUAUGGACUACCAGGACAUUUGUGAUACGGUUUCUAAGAGUCGAGUUGUUUGGGAAUGCAGCUCAAAGUGGGUGGUAAAUUCCAUCUAAGGCUAAAUAUAAGUGAGAGACCGAUAGCAAACAAGUACCGUGAGGGAAAGAUGAAAAGAACUUUGAAAAUAGAGUUAAAAGUACGUGAAAUUGCUGAAAGGGAAACGUUUAAAGUUAGUUUUGUAUUCGUUAGAUCAGCUUCGCAAGGAGUGUAUUCUGAUGAUAAGCAAGUCAACAUCAGUCUAUGAGUGUCUGAUAAGGGUUUUGAGAAUGUAGCAAUUUAAUUGUGUUAUAGCUUGAGACUUGGAUACGAUGCUUUGGAUUGAGGAACGCGUAGUAAGC